Molecule: long non-coding RNA, 328 nt
Filed under: Trifolium pratense (red clover)
Lineage: Eukaryota; Viridiplantae; Streptophyta; Magnoliopsida; Fabales; Fabaceae
Description: long non-coding RNA (TPRA_LNC012565)
Source: RNAcentral
UUUUGUGUUGUUCUGUCAUGUGUUGUGCUGUUCUAUCUUAUGCUGUUCUGUUCAGUACUUAUCCUUUAGCAAAUCAAAAUCACCCUAAGUUUUUUAUAGUAGUUUGGAUCCAUUCAGUUUCUAUAAGCAUACGGAAAAUAAGAUAAAAUUUCUUUAAACAAAAUUAAGAUGUAGAAAUGAAUUUCAUAACAUAGAUGAGAAACUAUCAUUAUUAGGUAAUUUUAUUUUUCAUGUUUAUAUAAUUGCAGAAUUUUUUGUAUCUGAAUUGACAAUUUGUCAAAUACUCUAAUUGUCAGCUAAACUUUGAUAACAUCACUUUAGUAUUUAA